This 1495-nucleotide ribosomal RNA is filed under the name uncultured Bordetella sp. Its description in RNAcentral is "partial 16S-23S ribosomal RNA intergenic spacer". It matches the Rfam family "Bacterial small subunit ribosomal RNA". The record is from RNAcentral. Lineage: Bacteria; Pseudomonadati; Pseudomonadota; Betaproteobacteria; Burkholderiales; Alcaligenaceae.
GGUUCGAUCAUGGCUCAGAUUGAACGCUGGCGGGAUGCUUUACACAUGCAAGUCGAACGGCAGCACGGACUUCGGUCUGGUGGCGAGUGGCGAACGGGUGAGUAAUGUAUCGGAACGUGCCUAGUAGCGGGGGAUAACUGCGCGGCCGUAGCUAUUAUACCUGCGCCCGCUGAGAAAGCGGGGGACCUUCGGGCCUCGCACUAUUAGAGCGGCCGAUAUCGGAUUAGCUAGUUGGUGGGGUAACGGCUCACCAAGGCGACGAUCCGUAGCUGGUUUGAAGGACGACCAACCACACUGGGACUGAGACCUGGCCCAGACUCCUACGGGAGGCAGCAGUGGGGAAUUUUGGACAAUGGGGAAACCUGAUCCAGCCAUCCGCGUGUGCGAUGAAGGCCUUCGGGUUGUAAGCACUUUUGGCAGGAAAGAAACGGCACGGGAUAAUACCCCGUGCAACUGACGGUACCUGCAGAAUAAGCACCGGCUAACUACGUGCCAGCAGCCGCGGUAAUACGUAGGGUGCAAGCGUUAAUCGGAAUUACUAUGGGCGUAAAGCGUGCGCAGGCGGUUCGGAAAGAAGAUCAUGAAAUCCCAGAGCUUAACUUUAGAUGCAUUUUAACUACCGGCUAAAGUGCCGUGUCAGAAGGUGAGAAUUCCAUAAAUACAACGGUAAAUAAAUGGAAUCUGCGGAGGAACACCGAUGGCGAAGGCAGCCUCCUGGGAUAACACUGACGCUCAUGCACGAAAGCGUGGGAGCAAACAGGAUUAGAUACCCUGGUAGUCCACGCCCUAAACGAUGUCCCAACUAGCUGUUGGGGCCUUCGGGCCUUGGUGGCACACCAGCUAACAUGUAAGUCGAAGUUGACCGCCUGGGGAGUACAGUCGCAAGAUUAAAACUCAAGGAAUUGACGGGGACCCGCACAAGCGGUGGAUGAUGUGGAUUAAUUCAGGUACCAGCGCGAAAAACCUUACCUACCCUUGACAUGUCUGGAAUCCCGAAGAGAUUGGGAGUGCUCGCAAGAGAACCGGAACACGAGUGCACCACAUACGCUGUCGUCAAGCUCGUGUCGUGAAAUCAUUGGGUUGAUCCCGCAACGAGCGCAACCCUUGUCAUUAGUUGCUACGAAAGGGCACUCUAAUGAGACUGCCGGUGACAAACCGGAGGAAGGUGGGGAUGACGUCAAGUCCUCAUGGCCCUUAUGGGUAGGGCUUCACACGUCAUCUAAUGCGUGGUCAGGACAGAAGGUGUAACCCGCAGAAGGCAAUCGAAACCCAGUCGUAGUCCGGAUGUAGCAGUCUGCAAACUCGACUGGCCGGGGAGUCAGAAUCGCUGUGAAAUGCGGAUCAGCAUGUCGCGGUAGAGCUCCCAUGUCCCAGGUCUUGUACACACCGCCCGUCACACCAUGGGAGUGGGUUUUGCAAGUAGUUAGCCUAACCGUAAGGAGGGCGAUUACCACGAGUAGGAUUCAUGACUGGGGGUGAAGUCGUAACAAGGUAG